Coturnix japonica (Japanese quail) is the source of this 7561-nucleotide non-coding RNA. The record is from RefSeq and is a predicted model, not a curated record. Lineage: Eukaryota; Metazoa; Chordata; Aves; Galliformes; Phasianidae.
CCAGGCUGCAGUCGGGCUCCUCUGUGCGGGAGCAGCAGCAGCUACAUCUCCCCAGCUACAUCUCCCCAGCCGCGGUCGGCCACUGUCGCAGGUAUCAGGAACAGAAUUAACACAGCCCAAGAAGUCUGUAGAAAAUGCAUGCAGCAAGGAUUGUAUGAUGGCAUUCUUUGGCAAUAAUUGCCAUAAGUACAUAAAGACAUAAAGGUUUACAUGUUGGAGAUACCCUGUGACUAAAAUCUCUGAAUGCUGUUGCAGAAGAUGGGCUAGGUCCUCUAAAUAAUAAAAUACCUGGAAAGAAGAUUAUCUAAAUGAGGAGUGACUACAUGGAAAGCAAUUAAUCCCAUAAGAAGUUUUAAGUGUCUACUGUUGAGAAAUUGAUGCAGAAAAUAAUUCAGCCUUCAAGGAAAAGUACAGGUAAAAUACAGCCCAUUUGGUUGUCAGUCCUAGGUAAUUUUGGUAUUUUUCAUAAUUGAAAACACAUUUUGAUCCAAAUGUGUGCAAACUAGAUAUUCUGGAAAGGUAAAACUGUUACAGCUAUGUUGCUGCUAUAUUAUAGUUAGGAAGGGAAAGGCUAAAAAGUGUGAGUCUGGGAUGGCUGUGCUUGGACAAAGAGUUUCAAGGGGAUCCAAUACAGCAGUGAUGAAAUAUUUUGUAAAGGACAUUGAUUAAAAAAAAUGUAAGUUCAGCAUCACCAAAGCCUGUGUAACAUGAUUUUUAACUUCUGGAAACUAUAACCUUAAUAAACUAGAAGUACUUUUAAUCAAGAGAAGUUGUUUAGGACAAAAAACAGGCUAUAUUUGCAGACCUUUGAUCUCUUACAUCUUGUAGCACUGGAAAUACUGUGCAGUACUGCUGAGAUACAAUACACUAAUGGAUUUAUAACAAGUUUGGCACAUGGAGACCUGUUGGCUUUAUUCAGACAUAGCACAGAAGCACAACAGGAAGAAAACACAACAUAUUGAUAGUAUUCAGACACUUGGGCAAAAACAAAAUACUGAAGACUAGACACUGAGCUCCUUUAAUAUGGAAAUGCUGUUACUGCACACUGGGCAUCUGGUACCAUACCCUGUGUGAAUAGCUGUGACCUCUGACAGAGGAGCUGCAGGAUCUCUUAGUCAUCACAGGGCUACGAGGAGGUUUACCCAUAACAAAUAUCUCUCUCUUUAAAUUAGCCUAGAAAAACCACAAAAAAUGCAUCAAUUAAGUGUUUAUGAAUGAAGCACCGUGGGAUUUUUGCCGCUUCAUUCACACAUGCAGGUUGAACAUGCUUUCCUUGGUAACAAAAGGCAAGUAUGCUACAGGUGCAUGUAGUGGUAUUGGUAGUAGAUAGUAUUUUCAUUUUUUGCACCAAUCAUUUUCUGAAGGUCUUGCUGCUCUGGCACGCGCACUUAUGCAUUAGAGUUAAGUGAUCAUUCAAGCAAAACACAUGCAUUUGGAGUAAGAACAGUUGUUGGAAGUCUGUCUACUGAAGUAGCUCAUUCAGUACAGGAAAAGUUCAACAGCAGACAGCAGAAACGCUACCUUGGAAAUAGAAAUGACAAAUGUUGUUAUCUGUUGCUGUUAAACAGACACCAGACCUUGAAUUUGCAUUUAUAAAGCAAAUACGUACUUGAUGGAAAGUACUCCAAUGAAAAAUUCUAGUUUGGUUAACAUCACCAGUAAUUAGCUAAAUACUUGACAUGAAUCAGUACUUAAAAGGAUGGGAGGCAAAUGUGCAUUCCAUGAGACUGCAGGUGGAUAGAGAGGCACGUGACGCUAGUGGAGUCCUGAUAUGGUGGAAAUCUCUUCCUUGUAUUAUUUGUUUGUUUGUUUGUUAGCCAGUAGAAAAUGGUAAGACAUAAGAGCAGUACCAUUUUGGGAGCUGGUAGGGUGAGUGGCCAAAAAAGGGAAAUCAGUAGAGGUCAAGGAGGCAGGAACACAUCAGCAGUUCUCCUCUGGAAGUGUCUUUACAACUAUUCCUUUGGAGGAUACAUUCUUCCCACCAUCAUGGAGGGAAGUGAUGCUUCUCUUCCAUCCAGCUACUCUACUGUCCAGAAUCCCAGGUGAUACUUUAGAGUUGAGCCUCAUUCCAAAUACUUACAUGCAUAUGGAUUUAUUUUCAAUACUUCCUCAACAAAUUCACUGGUAGUGCUUGAGUCCUGGAAAUGUCUCCUGUUUUUUUUUUUUCUUUUCCUUUUUUUUUCUACUUUAACAGCUACAGUAAGACUUCAGUUAUGGACAACACAUACAAACAGAAGAGUACUGUCUGCCCUUCUUUCUAAAGCUUAAGGUAAAGGUUAAGUAGAAAGAAAUAAUGAUGGGGCCCCAAUUUAUUUAAUUUUUUAACUGCAGCUGUCCUGGCAAUGUUGUCAAUGUUGACUUCUGAAACAAAUCUACCUACUGCUGGAAUGAAAUUAAAUCUUUAUCUCACUUCAGAAAUGUUGCAGAAAAGAAUCUGUUAACGUCAACAAUUUUCAAAAAGAAUUAAGAGCUGGAAUUCCUUAACAUCACUCCUUCAGUUUUGUUCCACCUUGUUCUUUAUAUUGUGGCUCGCUAUCUGCAAAGAUGGGGCCAUAGCCUUUACUUGUGUUCUGUGCUUCCCGUGGUGCCCAGUAGAGCGCAGCGUGCUGUCUAAGAGGUUGCCAGGAGCAGAGAAAACCUUUUUUUUUAAUAGAAAAGACAUUUCCACCAUCUUCAGCAGGGAUUAACCUGCCUCGCUUAAAGAAGGACAAGACAUAUCAGGGUCACCUAAAAAUGCCUUUCUACUGCUUUUAUUCAAAGUGGCAGAAACAAAUGUUCCACUGCGUUUCACAGCUUCCUUGAAGUGAAAGGCACUGAAGCCCAUGAUAGAUUCAUACCCUAGCAAGAGCUCCUAGAGAGUAACUUCCCUUCUUCAGGAAAAAAAACCCACAAAGAAACAACAGUGCAGCUUAAGAAGACCUUAAGAAGUUCAUUAUGCUUAAGUUUCCCAUUAACACAGAAUCUAAGAUGCAGGUUUUUCAAUGAUUUUUUUUCUUUCCCAUGGAGCUAAUGAUCACUUUUCCCAGGACAGUUUCUCAAACUUUUAAUGUGAUUCUUUUUCCUUGUCACAAGGAGACUCUGGAAAUUGAUUUUAGGUCAAAACUGCACUGGGAAUUUAUCUAUUUAGAGCCGUAGACUCUUUCCAGAACUCAUUUUUUCUGCCACAGAAUUGCAAUGCUGACAGAAAGUGUAGUUUUGAAGAGGGAAUAAUCUGUGUUUAGUCCUUGACUAAUUGAUUUAGAACGUUACUCUGUACAGUAGUGCUUUACUGUGAAACUUAGAGCUGUUCUCCUUAGCUUUGGAUUGAAGGUAAAAAGUGUUUUCAAAUAUAAAUAUUACUUUGUUUCUGUUUACUUGGAUAUUGUUCAGUAUUCUUAUUCAAAUGAAAGAAAUCCUGGCAUGAACUUUUGAAAGCGAGCUGAAGGCCUUUUGCUGUACGAGUAUCUGGGAGAGCUACUUCAAAAGUAAUGUCUCAUAUUGUGUUGGCCUCUGAUAUCAGAGGUGGAUGUUGGUGGUAUGGAAGUAGACGUUAACCUUCCCACCUAUAUUCCAUUGCAGUUUGUUGCCGUGUGAUGGGUAGCAGCAGAGGGGCAGUCUGACAACAUGGCGUCUGGCAUGAAACCGAGUAGGAGCGAAAGACCACUUUAGUUUAUCUUGGUGUGGAUGUUUUACAUCCUGCAGAAAAUCUGUGGUAAGACAAGAUGUAUGGAAGAUCCUGAAGCACUGUACAGAAGCUUCAGAAAAUAAUCUAUCCACAACAGCGCACUAAGCAUGCUACUUUGUGUAACCUAAAUUUGAUUUACAAGAAAGGUCAAUUCAGUGGGCAACCCUGAGGAAUCAUUACAGAAAGGUGAAGAUGCACAUCUGCUCACAUGUUCAAUACUGUAACUGAUAAAGCAAAGAAUGAAAGGAUGGAGAUGGCAUUAAAAGAACAGUGGGACUGACUAGAUGCAAAAUCUACAAAAUAGAAUUAAAAUGUAGGUCUUCUGUCCUCUCAUUGUUUUUUAAAUCAUUGCAGUCUUAUACCACAAACCAUUCUUAUCUACCUAACAUCUUUUCAUAUGGAAACUCAGAAUUCUUUAAAUACUCCAUCCACAUCAUGAAACUUUUUUUAACCAUCAUUUUCUAAUGAGCAGUCUUCCUUGGACUUAAGACUCUUAAUUGAAUUGCGGUGAUGUAACCAUGUCCCUGGGGUGGAAGUGGAACUAGAUUCUGAAGUUGUACCACCAUUUAACAAGCUAGGCAGCCUAGAGAAAACACUUAAAUUAGUUUAUAUAUUAUUAAGUGCGAAGAGUGUCUGCUGUUCAGAGUAUUUACUUGCUUGUUCUCCACUCCUAAAUUACAAAAACAAUUAAGAUAAAACUAUGGCACAAAACUGUGGUAACUCAAGAGUGUACUGUAUUCAAAUCAAUUGAAAAGUUAACAAUCUGUAGUCAACAGAUGCUAGUUAAUAUAAAUAUAGUUACUUUAUGACUGAGUAAAAUCCCCAAAGCCUGUUUGUGAAGUGCUUCAAGUUCUAGGACUUAAAAGUACACACACAAAAAUUGAAUACAUCACUCUCUUAAGCAUAUUUCAAGUGAUAAUUUGUUACUUUCUUUAGAGCUUGUACACCUGCUUCCAUUUCUUCUGCCAAAGCAUUAAAAUAAGCAAUUGGUAUAUAAUCACAAUCACCAAAGCUAUUACAUAAAGUUUUAGAGUUUGCUGUUAGGAUAAUGCUCUUUCUAUAACACACCAACAGCAGUGAUUUGGUUUUUGUUCUUCUUUUAAAACACAAGUAAUGACAGAACACAGAUGUCAGGAUUGAAACAGUUGAGGCAGUUUCUUGUGUAAUUCUGUGAUUUUUCAAAUGAGCCUUUCCCCCACUCACACCUGCUAUCCACCAGACAUUCACUCCAGUCAACUACUGUCCACGUCCAUUUAAAUAAAAUCAGAAGAUGCAGCUUGUCUUGCAUUUGAUAUUCUUUAAGUACCUGUCUCUUUAGUGAAAAAGAAGGAUUUUGUCUCAUCUAAAUACUGUGUUGAUAAGUGGCGCUUCCUUUUGUCUGUAUCAUUACGUUGUCUUAUGACCAACAAAAAUCUUGUCUCAGAAAUGUUACUGAUUUUUCUGCAUGGAUAUUGCUGCAUUAUUUAUUUUUGGUUUGCUACCUCUUUAUCUGUAGUUCCUCUUCUGUCCCUUGGAGUACAUCGUUCCACAUCAGUGAAAGCAGAAUAGUUUCCAGGAGUUUCCUGGUCUACUGAAAACAGAACAUCAUUAUGUGAAACUGUGGUAAAAGAAACAUAUUAAAAUCUGGCAUACUGCUUGGAAUCUUUUAAAGGAAUGAAGAGAUACUGUUUCUAUAAUUUCACAUGUAAUCAGAAGAGAAGCAUGUUAUGUUAUGGUUAAAGUGGACCUUUAAAGAAACAAAGAUACCAUCUCUCAAGUCAAGGCUUGCUUCUGAUCCACAGCUGAAGAAUGUGUAAUAGAGAAUGGGAAGAGCAAAAUUAUGCCUUACUGUAUGAGGUGAUGCAUCCCUGCUGGACCAAAUGGAAGACACAACAACAAUACUGAGACUUUAUCAAGCCGUUAGAAUCUUUUCUGAAUGCCAACAAUAUAAUCACAAUUACAUGCACAAAACAUGACUAAAGCAUGCCUCAAUGAGAUAAUAAGAGGAAACAAUUUCUCUUUAAUAGGCCAACUUGUUAGUUGUUUUAUUUCGUAAAAAGAUGAAAUUAUAAAUCAUUACUCACCAAUCUCUGUGGCAAAUUCUCUCUAAAGCAUAGCUUCCCAAUGUUUACUAGAAGAUGAUACACUACAGGAUGGCAGAUGCCUCUUUUUGUAUUUCAAUAAAAGAAAAAAGAAAAAAAUCUUGCACAGUUUCCAGUGUGAAUUAAAAUGCAAUGGAAUUAUUUCAGAACAGAGAAUGAAAUAAGCUGUCCCUUGACUUCUGAGAUUUACUAGCAAUUGUAGUCUCCCAAUGUGGGCUGCUGGAGGCUUCUGAUUGAUACUUGCCUCUUUGACUUCAUUCACAUGAUCUGUUUUUACCAACCUUAUGGAAAAAUAGAAUUAAAAACAUCUACUGCAUUAUGUUGCAGUUUUACAGAACAGAGACCUCAAUGGGCUGUUGGCUAAGCUACGAGGACUUCAAACUAUUGAUAAAUACAGUGGGGGGCAAAAAUUACUUAACUGCAUCACUUAGGUUGUUGGGUGCAAGCAUGGCAUCCCCAGCAAAUUUACCAUAGUUCCAAUUGUGGGCAGCUUUCUUUAUGUGGCUGCCUUGUUGUCACAGGAGCUAUUAGGAAUCUACAUUUACUCUGCACUAUGGAUUUCCCUACUUCCUAGAUGGUUUAGUUUAAUGUCUUUUGAAAGUCUGUCAUGUAUUCUUUAAAUGACAGCAUUUCUAUUUUAAAUAAUUCCGCUUCCACACAUCCAGAGCUCUAUGAAUGAGCAUCUUUGAGAAGUUAGUGACUUCAAAAGGCUAUUAGUGAAAUCACAAAUGGAUGAAAGAAUGUCUUUGUGAUAUUGGUUAUGUGUUAUUUGACCAAACCCAUCUUUACAGUUUUGAUUAUUGAGAAUUUCUCUUCUGUGAUAUUUCUGAAAAUUCCAUAGUCACAUUAAAAUUUGCUGAGAAGAAUUAGGUUUGCUGCCACAGAGAUUGGAAAACCUUUGAACAGCAAUAAUGAAAACUUCCUAAAAUAACUGUCAGGUCUAUUCACAAAAAGUAGCAUGAAGCAAUUGAAUGGGUGUAUUCUCAUGAAAAAAACAGAAACAACUCACUAUUUCACUGGCAGAUUUUUGUCAAUUACACAUUUUACUACAUAGGUUUUUUUGCUUUUUUUUUUUUUUUUAAUAUGUUUUUGAUGCUGAUUUUGGUUUAAAAAUAUUCAAGUAAAAGACUCCCUGCAUAUUGUUUUGUAUUUGACCGUCAUCUUAAUGAUGAAUCUGUUUACUUUCUGAAAGGUUUUUGGUUUUGUUUUAGGAAAAAAAUCACUCAGGUUAAAAACACCAUUAUUAUUUGUAGCACUAAUUAUCUAAUGGUUGAAGUACACCAUUCCUCCAAUUGUCCAGAUUUCUUCAUUUUGUGAAUAGACAAAAAAUUUCUCUAGGUUUGCAAUGAUGUAAAAAUAAGUCUUCCUGCGUUAUGAGUUUUGUGGGAUGGACCGUUCUUAUAUACUACAUGGAUAAAAAUGGAAUGAGAAAGGGUGGAAAUAAAGGGAAUAAAUCACAAGGAUAGAGGAAGAAAGUGAAUCCACCUUGGAAACACAGUGCACUAUCAUUUUCUUGGUUAUUGUUGUUAGUUGUGUCCAUGUCUUGAAGAGAGGCACUAAGAGGUAAUCUUCCACAAUCAUUCUGGUAAAGUGGGCAAUGGGUAGCACCAUCUUGAGGCAGUGGAUGAAAAGGCUGGUGCAUGGGACUCUUUUUCAGAGCUGUAAGAGAUGAAUUCCUUUCUGGAAUGUCUGGAAGCAGCUCAGUAAUAAGUCUGUGCAAUAUACUGUUGUCAGGCAAGCUUCCCCUUCUUUUUUCAGCUUUAAUUUGGUCACAGAUGUCUUUAAGUGCAGAAUCUAGUGCUUCAAAUACAGAUGA